AGGCGCUAGGUGCUGGUGUUUAUAGGAUUCACGAGUGGAAUGUCAAAGGAGAUGUCAUUCUUUAUAUUUUAUAUUCAGACGCCUGCGACGCCAGACUCGCGCGAUCAGACUUCGCGCCGGCGACAAUAUUUCGCACGAUGAAGUCGAAUAUAUCUACAAAGAUUCUUCCACACUUGAGUGACGAUUGAAACUUAUUAUAUAAUUAAACAUCUGUUCCUAAUUAAGUGUUACUAAUUUUGUCUUUAAAAUAUAUAAUAUAAAUGUGAUACUUGU
This 273-nucleotide unclassified non-coding RNA is filed under the name Melitaea cinxia (Glanville fritillary). RNAcentral's name for it is "misc RNA ENSMCXG00005008508.1". The record is from RNAcentral. Lineage: Eukaryota; Metazoa; Arthropoda; Insecta; Lepidoptera; Nymphalidae.